RNAcentral lists this unclassified non-coding RNA (544 nucleotides) under Athalia rosae (coleseed sawfly). RNAcentral's name for it is "misc RNA ENSAEAG00005003732.1". Lineage: Eukaryota; Metazoa; Arthropoda; Insecta; Hymenoptera; Athaliidae. The record is from RNAcentral.
AAGAUCUAAUCGGUUUAUUUUCGGACUUUUGCCGUGUUAUUACAGCAGGUACGUACAUUCGUACUCGGAGCGAUACGGGAGAUGGAUCGGUACCUAUAUCGUUUGGAGUCGGAUUACCGACAUAUUGGGCUAACAAUAAGUGGGAUGUUGCGAGAGUGGUAAUUUUCUACUGCUCGCGUGUUACAGUUUAACCGUUGGAACUCUGAGAACCUUUUAUUAGAGAAUAUUAUUAUACGAAAUUUAAUCGUUCGAAGCUUGUCAUCGGUGUUUAUUUUUACCGUCGUUACACGUCAAUUACGGGCUAUAGAAAAACAGUGAGAGUGCGAGAGAAAAGAUACGGAUCAUCGUUCAUCCGAAGUGCUGGUCUGCGUUGCAGAGAGAGAGAGAGAGAGAGGGAGAGAAGCCCUGCAAUAUCCGGGCUGACGAUUCUGCGGAGCUUUCGAAUAAAUGCCAGUCGCAAGAAGAGGAGGCUUAUACGCGGGAUGAUAUAACCACCGGUAUCUGCAUACGAUGUCGAGGAUCCGAAAGGGCUGCGGCGAAGGUA